ACUCUUAUGAGGCCCCGUAAUUGGAAUGAGAACAAUCUAAAUCCUUUAACGAGGAUCUAUUGGAGGGCAAGUCUGGUGCCAGCAGCCGCGGUAAUUCCAGCUCCAAUAGCGUAUAUUAAAGUUGUUGUGGUUAAAAAGCUCGUAGUUGGAUCUCAGUUCGAGUCAGGCGGUCCACUUGCCAGUGGCUACUGCCUGACUGAACACUUUACCGAGUUGUCCUAUGGUGUUCUUCACCGAGCGUCAUAGGCGAUCGGUACGUUUACUUUGAAAAAAUUAGAGUGCUCAAAGCAGGCGUAACGCCCGAAUAAUGUUGCAUGGAAUAAUGGAAUAGGACCUCGGUUCUAUUUUGUUGGUCUUCGGAAUCAGAGGUAAUGAUCAAUAGGGACAGACGGGGACAUUCGUAUUGCGGCGCUAGAGGUGAAAUUCUUGGACCGUCGCAAGACGAACUAAAGCGAAAGCAUUUGUCAAGAAUGUUUUCAUUAAUCAAGAACGAAAGUUAGAGGUUCGAAGGCGAUCAGAUACCGCCCUAGUUCUAACCAUAAACGAUGCCAACCAGUAAUUCGUCUGAGUUCCUUAAAUGACUCGACGAGGGACUUCCGGGAAACCAAAGUCUUUCGGUUCCAGGGGAAGUAUGGUUGCAAAGCUGAAACUUAAAGAAAUUGACGGAAGGGCACCACCAGGAGUGGAGCCUGCGGCUUAAUUUGACCCAACACGGGAAAACUCACCCGGCCCGGACACUGGAAGGAUUGACAGAUUGAGAGCUCUUUCUUGAUUCAGUGGGUGGUGGUGCAUGGCCGUUCUUAGUUGGUGGAGUGAUUUGUCUGGUUAAUUCCGAUAACGAACGAGACUCUAGCCUACUAAAUAGAUCGUCGGCUUACAAACGCCGGCGAGACUUCUUAGAGGGACAGGCGGUGAUUCAACCGCACGAAACAGAGCAAUAACAGGUCUGUGAUGCCCUUAGAUGUCCGGGGCCGCACGCGCGCUACACUGAAGUGAUCAGCGUGCUUUUUCAACCUACUCUGUCAAGAGUGGGGAACCCAAUGAACCUUCUUCGUGAUUGGGAUAGGGGAUUGUAAUUAUUCCCCUUGAACGAGGAAUUCCCAGUAAGCGCGAGUCAUAAGCUCGCGUUGAUUACGUCCCUGCCCUUUGUACACACCGCCCGUCGCUACUACCGAUUGAAUGUUUUAGUGAGGUCUUCGGACUGGCCGGCGCAGCACUCUCGUAGUGCAGCGCUGUGUUUGGAAAGAUGCCCAAACUUGAACAUUUAGAGGAAGUAAAAGU
This 1281-nucleotide ribosomal RNA is filed under the name metagenome. Its description in RNAcentral is "SSU rRNA". It matches the Rfam family "Eukaryotic small subunit ribosomal RNA", at positions 490 to 1789 of the family's 1831-position model. The record is from RNAcentral.